UUAAAUUGAAGAGUUUGAUCAUGGCUCAGAUUGAACGCUGGCGGCAGGCCUAACACAUGCAAGUCGAACGGUAACAGGAAGAAGCUUGCUUCUUUGCUGACGAGUGGCGGACGGGUGAGUAAUGUCUGGGAAACUGCCUGAUGGAGGGGGAUAACUACUGGAAACGGUAGCUAAUACCGCAUAACGUCGCAAGACCAAAGAGGGGGACCUUCGGGCCUCUUGCCAUCGGAUGUGCCCAGAUGGGAUUAGCUUGUUGGUGGGGUAACGGCUCACCAAGGCGACGAUCCCUAGCUGGUCUGAGAGGAUGACCAGCCACACUGGAACUGAGACACGGUCCAGACUCCUACGGGAGGCAGCAGUGGGGAAUAUUGCACAAUGGGCGCAAGCCUGAUGCAGCCAUGCCGCGUGUAUGAAGAAGGCCUUCGGGUUGUAAAGUACUUUCAGCGGGGAGGAAGGGAGUAAAGUUAAUACCUUUGCUCAUUG
Molecule: ribosomal RNA, 483 nt
Filed under: Escherichia coli
Lineage: Bacteria; Pseudomonadati; Pseudomonadota; Gammaproteobacteria; Enterobacterales; Enterobacteriaceae
Description: bacterial SSU rRNA
Rfam family: Bacterial small subunit ribosomal RNA
Source: RNAcentral